CCCGGCCAAGAAAUAGUUAUAACCCAGAGUGAAACCACAACCUGUGGAUUAAAGAAACAAGUUAUAGCGUGAUAAUCAGAGAGCUUUAGGUGGUUAAUCUCGAAUACUUCGACUGGGAACAUUUGGUCGUGCACUGUGCAUUUGAUAUUUCUCUCUGAUUCCACUACAUUCUACAACAGCCAUUUACAAUUUAGAAACAAUUCCAUCUCUGCAAACUUGAACGGCAUUUGGUUGAGAGGACCUGUCAGACAGUGACCAGCGUUUCUGGCCUCCUAAUGAGUUGGAGAAGAGUUGACGCAGGUCCAAGUUUUGCCUCAGAUCCCGACUCCCUUUGUCUUCUCUCUUAGUCUCCCAAAGCUGCUUUUCACAUUUGGAUCAAAGUUUGCUAACUCAUACAAAGCCCUGGUAUCAGCGAAUGAAGCACAAAAACAGCAAUCGUUGUGAAAAGAGAAACGUUUUGGGAAAGACACACAUUCUUUAUUCUUAAAAGAAGAGUGACUGAAUGUCUGAAAAGGCCCCAGAGCAGACUGCCAUUCAGUGAGAGGUAUUAUUCCUCCUAGCUAAUGCGAGACAUAAAAAUACACACUCUUGCGUAAGGCAGCGCCAGUGGAAAGGUAGACACCAUAGAAGACGAGGGAAAAAAAAUCUGAGCCAGUGAGGAAGACGGACAGAAUAUGAGAGAGAGUUAGUGUGGAAAGAAGAUGUGGGAUGCUGUGGUUCCCAGAGUCAUCUGGUGGCGAUGGAGAUCGCCGGCUAAACCUCAGAGACUUUUGAGAAGAAGAAAAAAAAAAACCCUCUUUGAUCACUUGUUGUAAUUAUGCACUGCUGCUUUGUUGCAACAACGUGAACCACGUAAUGUGCCGGUAACCGUUUAACGUAACCGCUUCACCACACUCGCCCUAAACUGGGCCGAGAGUGCUGACCGUUUGUUCCUGGUGCGUUUCCUGGAUGCCAUGGAGGACCAACGGCGUGCAUCUGAAGCAGAAUUCUUUAAUUACGUAUCUUUUUUGAUUUAGAGGAAUAUGUGUAAUAAACACGUUUGCAACUGCAGACUUGGUUCAUUAAAGACGUAUAACAACUUAAGUCUGACUUAUUCAAUUCAGCUGCA
Gasterosteus aculeatus aculeatus (three-spined stickleback) is the source of this 1108-nucleotide long non-coding RNA. The record is from Ensembl. Lineage: Eukaryota; Metazoa; Chordata; Actinopteri; Perciformes; Gasterosteidae.